RNAcentral lists this transfer RNA (54 nucleotides) under Vibrio parahaemolyticus 50. RNAcentral describes it as "partial tRNA-Gly". It matches the Rfam family "tRNA", at positions 1 to 52 of the family's 71-position model. Rfam says of the family: Transfer RNA (tRNA) molecules are approximately 80 nucleotides in length. The record is from RNAcentral. Lineage: Bacteria; Pseudomonadati; Pseudomonadota; Gammaproteobacteria; Vibrionales; Vibrionaceae.
GCGACACUAGCUCAGUUGGUAGAGCGCAACCUUGCCAAGGUUGAGGUCACGAGU